Long non-coding RNA from Lontra canadensis (Northern American river otter), 227 nucleotides. RefSeq lists it as uncharacterized. The record is from RefSeq and is a predicted model, not a curated record. The transcript is spliced from 3 exons. Lineage: Eukaryota; Metazoa; Chordata; Mammalia; Carnivora; Mustelidae.
UAUAAAGAAAAUGUGAUUUAAGCUACUGAUCACUAAGGAGUAUUCCACAUAUUGACAGACAAGCAAAAAACAGUCAUAAAUGCUCCAAAAAUAGGGAGCCAGAGAUACUUCGCAAAGAUUCUCUAACACCAACAGGAAAUAGAACUAUUUCCCAAUCCUCCAUCAAUCGAGUGCCUUGGAUGGACACAACGUCUCAGGUUCCCACCUCCUUCCACCUGCUCCUGCUG